UUAAAUAUCAGCCCUGUGCCAUGGACUGAGGAGAUAUGAAGAAGGAAAUCAACACAAGAUUGUGUUGGCACAAGAGAAAGCUGCUCUGAAUGGUGAGAACAGGAGUCAGCCCACCUAUCCUAAGUCAAAGGAACCCACCAGUUCCAAGGAGGAGGCACAGAUGAAAAGAAGAAAGGAAAGAAGUGAAAGAAGAAGAACAAGUGAGAGGUGGGAGGAGAAGGACAAGGAUGGUGGAGCUGAAGCAGUACCUGGCACCGUGGCCAUCCUUCCAAGUUUGUCUUGGCUCCUGACUUCAACCAGUGGUUUUUGAUACCUUUCUCACGUCAUUUCCCAGGGUAGCACAAGCUGCCUUGUGAAUUACCAGAGUGAAGAAAUGGCCCCAAGGGACAUCAUCUUGAAGCCACGUGAGGAAAGACACAGCCACAUGAUUCUCUAAGUACCAGCUAUCAGGGUGGAAAAUGGAAAGAGCAUUAAACUCUCUGGAGGAUUCCAACGAGCUGUGCUCCAGUCAGACCUUCCUGAGACCACCUGCAUGACCUUGAGCAAGUCACUGACCUCCCCAUGCUUCAUCCCAUUUGAAAAUGGGAACAGCAAUACCUACCUCAUAAGAUUGUGGUGAGGCACAGAUGACUCCAAUAGCUGGGCAAAUGUUAG
This 654-nucleotide long non-coding RNA is filed under the name Equus caballus (horse). RNAcentral describes it as "lncRNA (ENSECAG00000053530.1)". Lineage: Eukaryota; Metazoa; Chordata; Mammalia; Perissodactyla; Equidae. The record is from RNAcentral.